CCUACGGGAGGCAGUAGUGGGGAAUAUUGCACAAUGGGGGAAACCCUGAUGCAGCGACGCCGCGUGAGUGAAGAAGUCAUUCGUUAUGUAAAGCUCUAUCAGCAGGGAAGAAAAUGACGGUACCUGAGUAAGAAGCCCCGGCUAACUACGUGCCAGCAGCCGCGGUAAUACGUAGGGGGCAAGCGUUAUCCGGAUUUACUGGGUGGAAAGGGAGCGUAGACGGGAGUGCAAGUCUGGAGUGAAAGGCGGGGGCUCAACCCCCGGACUGCUCUGGAAACUGUACGGCUGGAGUGCAGGAGAGGUAAGUGGAAUUCCUAGUGUAGCGGUGAAAUGCGUAGAUAUUAGGAGGAACACCAGUGGCGAAGGCGGCUUACUGGACUGUAACUGACGUUGAGGCUCGAAAGCGUGGGGAGCAAACAGGAUUAGAUACCCCAGUAGUC
This 440-nucleotide ribosomal RNA is filed under the name uncultured bacterium. RNAcentral's name for it is "partial 16S ribosomal RNA". It matches the Rfam family "Bacterial small subunit ribosomal RNA", at positions 338 to 795 of the family's 1533-position model. The record is from RNAcentral.